Molecule: ribosomal RNA, 1427 nt
Filed under: Andraca olivacea
Lineage: Eukaryota; Metazoa; Arthropoda; Insecta; Lepidoptera; Endromidae
Description: 16S ribosomal RNA
Source: RNAcentral
GGGGGUAAAAUUAAUAAUUGAAAAAAUAAUAAAAAUAAUUUUAAUAUUAAAAUAAUUUAAUGGGGGUUAAAGUAUUUUAAUAGAAAAAAUUUAAAUUUUUAUAGUUAAUUAGGUAUUGUGAGAGAAUUUUGAAAUAUUUUGAAAUAAAAUUUAUGGGGAAGUAAAUUUUAAUUAUUGUAUCUUGGGUAUCAGAGUUUAUUAAAAAUUUUUUAUUGGUUUAAAUUUCUCGAAUUUAAAAGAGAUAAUUAAUUAAAAAAGUUAUUGUUGUAUAAAUAUUUUAAAUAAUUAAUUUGAAAUGAAAAGUUAAUCGUUUUUAAAUAUAUCUAGUUUUUUUAGAAAAAAAUUUAAUUUUUAAUUUAAAAUAUAAAAAAAUUUAAUUAAUUUUAAGUUUUUUUUUUUUUAAAUUUAAUAUUUUAAGGGAUAAGCUUUAAAUUAAAUUUUUAUAAUAAGAAUUGAUUUAUAUUAAAAUUUUUAUAAUUUAUAUUGUUAAUAAAUUAUAUUUUUUUAUAAAUAAUUUUAUUUAAAUUAAAAUUUAAUUUGAAUAUAUUUAAUUUUUUAUAAAAAAUAAUUUUAUAAUAAUUAAAAUUUUGAUAUUAUGAUAAAAUUAGUAUAUAAAAUUAAAAUUUUUUAAUAAUUAUUUAAUUUUAAUUUAAUAUAUUUAAAAGGAAUUCGGCAAAUUUUUAUGUUCACUUGUUUAUCAAAAACAUGUCUUUUUGAUUAUAAUUUAAAGUCUAAUCUGCCCACUGAUAUAAAUAUAUUAAAGGGCUGCAGUAUUUUGACUGUACAAAGGUAGCAUAAUCAUUAGUCUCUUAAUUGGUGACUUGUAUGAAAGAUUGAAUGAAAUAUAAGCUGUCUCUUAAGUAUAAUAUUGAAUUUAAUUUUUUAAUUAAAAAGUUAAAAUAAAUUAAAAAGACGAGAAGACCCUAUAGAGUUUUAUAAUUUUUAAAAAUUAAUUUUAUUUAUAAAUAUUUUAAUUAUGAUUUUUAAUAGUUUAUUUUAUUGGGGUGAUAAAAAAAUUUAUUGAACUUUUUUUAAGAAAUUUCAUUGAUAAGUGAGUUAAUGAUCCAAUUUUAUUGAUUAUAAGAUUAAAUUACCUUAGGGAUAACAGCGUAAUUUUUUUUUUUAGUUCGUAUAAGAAAAAAAGUUUGCGACCUCGAUGUUGGAUUAAGAUAAAAUUUAUAUGUAGAAGUAUAAGAAUUUUGAUCUGUUCGAUCAUUAAAAUCUUACAUGAUCUGAGUUCAAACCGGUGUGAGCCAGGUUGGUUUCUAUCUUUUAAAAUUAAAAAUAUUUUAGUACGAAAGGAUUAAAUAUUUUAAUUAAAUUAUUUAUUUUGAAUUUUAUUAAAAAUAUUUAAAAAUAAUUUAAAUUAUGAUUAAAUGAUAUAUAUAUAUAUAUAUAUAUAUAUAUAAAUUAACAUUGAAAAUUGU